Molecule: transfer RNA, 82 nt
Filed under: Echinostoma caproni
Lineage: Eukaryota; Metazoa; Platyhelminthes; Trematoda; Plagiorchiida; Echinostomatidae
Rfam family: tRNA
About the family: Transfer RNA (tRNA) molecules are approximately 80 nucleotides in length. Their secondary structure includes four short double-helical elements and three loops (D, anti-codon, and T loops).
Source: Rfam by way of RNAcentral
AGCCUCGUAGCUCAGCUGGUAAAGCGUGCGCGUACCAAGCAAAGGUGGCAUCCAUGCGUGGGUUUGAAUCCCACAGAGGCUA